UAGUUGGUGAGGUAACGGCUCACCAAGGCAACGAUCAGUAGCCGACCUGAGAGGGUGAUCGGCCACACUGGAACUGAGACACGGUCCAGACUCCUACGGGAGGCAGCAGUGGGGAAUAUUGCACAAUGGGCGAAAGCCUGAUGCAGCAACGCCGCGUGAGCGAUGAAGGCCUUCGGGUCGUAAAGCUCUGUCCUAUGGGAAGAUAAUGACGGUACCAUAGGAGGAAGCCCCGGCUAACUACGUGCCAGCAGCCGCGGUAAUACGUAGGGGGCAAGCGUUAUCCGGAAUUACUGGGCGUAAAGGGUGCGUAGGCGGUUUAUCAAGUCAGGGGUGAAAGGCUACGGCUCAACCGUAGUGAGCCUCUGAAACUGGUGAACUUGAGUGUAGGAGAGGAAAGUGGAAUUCCCAGUGUAGCGGUGAAAUGCGUAGAUAUUGGGAGGAACACCAGUGGCGAAGGCGACUUUCUGGACUACAACUGACGCUGAGGCACGAAAGCGUGGGGAGCAAACAGGAUUAGAUACCCUGGUAGUCCACGCUGUAAACGAUGAGUACUAGGUGUCGGCUGUCAAAGGUCGGUGCCGGCGUUAACACAUUAA
This 596-nucleotide ribosomal RNA is filed under the name uncultured bacterium. RNAcentral's name for it is "bacterial SSU rRNA". It matches the Rfam family "Bacterial small subunit ribosomal RNA", at positions 246 to 863 of the family's 1533-position model. The record is from RNAcentral.